AAUCCUCACAUUUCCAGGGUCUAAAAUUAAUGAAUCAAACAAUCAAUCAAUCAAUUAAAAUGUACUAAAGAUCAGUAACUUUUAAAGAACCCCUCUAUCCUGAGUGUGAAGCUGGCUUUUGGUGUUGCUUUUGCGACUGCCAAUAGCCACCGAUGAUGGUUCUUCUCUUCCUUUGGAAGAGUAAGAGGGAGAGAGCACAGUCUGAGUGGU
Artibeus jamaicensis (Jamaican fruit-eating bat) is the source of this 210-nucleotide small nucleolar RNA. RefSeq annotates it as small nucleolar RNA U3. The transcript has a single exon. The record is from RefSeq and is a predicted model, not a curated record. NCBI's taxonomy places the organism in Eukaryota, Metazoa, Chordata, Mammalia, Chiroptera, Phyllostomidae.